Molecule: ribosomal RNA, 458 nt
Filed under: uncultured bacterium
Lineage: Bacteria
Description: bacterial SSU rRNA
Rfam family: Bacterial small subunit ribosomal RNA
Source: RNAcentral
AUUGAACGCUGGCGGCAGGCCUAACACAUGCAAGUCGAACGGUAACAGGAAGAAGCUUGCUUCUUUGCUGACGAGUGGCGGACGGGUGAGUAAUGUCUGGGAAACUGCCUGAUGGAGGGGGAUAACUACUGGAAACGGUAGCUAAUACCGCAUAACGUCGCAAGACCAAAGAGGGGGACCUUCGGGCCUCUUGCCAUCGGAUGUGCCCAGAUGGGAUUAGCUAGUAGGUGGGGUAACGGCUCACCUAGGCGACGAUCCCUAGCUGGUCUGAGAGGAUGACCAGCCACACUGGAACUGAGACACGGUCCAGACUCCUACGGGAGGCAGCAGUGGGGAAUAUUGCACAAUGGGCGCAAGCCUGAUGCAGCCAUGCCGCGUGUAUGAAGAAGGCCUUCGGGUUGUAAAGUACUUUCAGCGGGGAGGAAGGGAGUAAAGUUAAUACCUUUGCUCAUUGACGU